This 1372-nucleotide ribosomal RNA is filed under the name uncultured bacterium. Its description in RNAcentral is "bacterial SSU rRNA". It matches the Rfam family "Bacterial small subunit ribosomal RNA", at positions 28 to 1381 of the family's 1533-position model. The record is from RNAcentral.
GAUAAACGCUGGCGGCGUGCCUAAUACAUGCAAGUCGAGCGAACGGACGAGAAGCUUGCUUCUCUGAUGUUAGCGGCGGACGGGUGAGUAACACGUGGAUAACCUACCUAUAAGACUGGGAUAACUUCGGGAAACCGGAGCUAAUACCGGAUAAUAUUUUGAACCGCAUGGUUCAAAAGUGAAAGACGGUCUUGCUGUCACUUAUAGAUGGAUCCGCGCUGCAUUAGCUAGUUGGUAAGGUAACGGCUUACCAAGGCAACGAUGCAUAGCCGACCUGAGAGGGUGAUCGGCCACACUGGAACUGAGACACGGUCCAGACUCCUACGGGAGGCAGCAGUAGGGAAUCUUCCGCAAUGGGCGAAAGCCUGACGGAGCAACGCCGCGUGAGUGAUGAAGGUCUUCGGAUCGUAAAACUCUGUUAUUAGGGAAGAACAUAUGUGUAAGUAACUGUGCACAUCUUGACGGUACCUAAUCAGAAAGCCACGGCUAACUACGUGCCAGCAGCCGCGGUAAUACGUAGGUGACAAGCGUUAUCCGGAAUUAUUGGGCGUAAAGCGCGCGUAGGCGGUUUUUUAAGUCUGAUGUGAAAGCCCACGGCUCAACCGUGGAGGGUCAUUGGAAACUGGAAAACUUGAGUGCAGAAGAGGAAAGUGGAAUUCCAUGUGUAGCGGUGAAAUGCGCAGAGAUAUGGAGGAACACCAGUGGCGAAGGCGACUUUCUGGUCUGUAACUGACGCUGAUGUGCGAAAGCGUGGGGAUCAAACAGGAUUAGAUACCCUGGUAGUCCACGCCGUAAACGAUGAGUGCUAAGUGUUAGGGGGUUUCCGCCCCUUAGUGCUGCAGCUAACGCAUUAAGCACUCCGCCUGGGGAGUACGACCGCAAGGUUGAAACUCAAAGGAAUUGACGGGGACCCGCACAAGCGGUGGAGCAUGUGGUUUAAUUCGAAGCAACGCGAAGAACCUUACCAAAUCUUGACAUCCUUUGACAACUCUAGAGAUAGAGCCUUCCCCUUCGGGGGACAAAGUGACAGGUGGUGCAUGGUUGUCGUCAGCUCGUGUCGUGAGAUGUUGGGUUAAGUCCCGCAACGAGCGCAACCCUUAAGCUUAGUUGCCAUCAUUAAGUUGGGCACUCUAAGUUGACUGCCGGUGACAAACCGGAGGAAGGUGGGGAUGACGUCAAAUCAUCAUGCCCCUUAUGAUUUGGGCUACACACGUGCUACAAUGGACAAUACAAAGGGCAGCGAAACCGCGAGGUCAAGCAAAUCCCAUAAAGUUGUUCUCAGUUCGGAUUGUAGUCUGCAACUCGACUACAUGAAGCUGGAAUCGCUAGUAAUCGUAGAUCAGCAUGCUACGGUGAAUACGUUCCCGGGUCU